Long non-coding RNA from Cyprinus carpio (common carp), 997 nucleotides. NCBI's taxonomy places the organism in Eukaryota, Metazoa, Chordata, Actinopteri, Cypriniformes, Cyprinidae. The record is from Ensembl.
AGUGUCUUUGUUAACAUAUUCGGCAAAUAGCUAAAAGCCAAAAUGUUCUGCGUGCACUGCGCUCCAAUCAAAUGUCUCUAUUAGUUGGGCUUGGCAACAAAUGCAGCUGAGAUACGCUUCCACACAAAGCAGCUCGCUGUGAGAUCAUAUCAGUGGGGGUUCUGAGUGUUUAUCAAAGAAAUUACUGAUCAUAACAUCACCCACAUUGCUCUCCAAAGAGAUGCCAGACCCAUCUUGCAUAUUAGUCCUUGAUGAGAAAAAUGCAAUUAAAAUGUCAACUACUUUUUAUUAGAAUCUGCCCACCCUGUGGAGCUCAGCGUCCUCUAGAGUCCACUGCAGGCAGUCGAAGGAUGGCACGGCAAAAGGGUUCCGUCAGAGUUUCAGCUGGAGGGGAACAGCCGAUUUGGCUUGUCCUCUGGGGUUGGCGUUAUUGGGAAGCACUCUCUCCCUGCCUCCAUUUCCUGUCCUGUUUAAUCGCUUCCAGGUGAGAGGUGUUCUUCUGACCUCUUCUGGGAAUGCUUAUUAAAACUGUUUUCCUAUUGAUACCGUGGGUUUGAUAUUUACCAGAUUUGACAAAGUAAAGAUCUCAUGUUUGGCAUAAUAUUACAAGGGAAACAUAAGUGAAUUAUUUGGCCUGAAUGCUGCAGAUAUAACAUUGUUAAGGUGCAGGCUUGAAACUCAAUCCUUGGUCCCACACCACAUUUGGUUUUCAUUCUUUUUCUCGAAAAUUUAACAAUAGCACCCAGGGAUUAAGUCAUGAGGCAGGUCGCAGCCAAACCAAACAUCCUGCCUCCUACAGAAUAAUGAAGACAGAUGAAAAAAGGAAACAGGUGUAAAGUGUACUUUUUUUCUUUAUGUUUUCUCAAGGAGGCAUUUUACGCCGAGGCUGUCUUCGAACGAAACGAAGCCCAUCUAAAAAAGAAAAAACACAUAGCAAAACAAAACAAGGGAUGUUAUUCUUCUUUCAGCACAAACAGGGUUCCCGGUACAUGAGCUC